UACGGAAGGCAGCAGUGGGGAAUAUUGCACAAUGGGCGCAAGCCUGAUGCAGCCAUGCCGCGUGUAUGAAAAAGGCCUUCGGGUUGUAAAGUACUUUCAGUCGUGAGGAAGGUGUUAAGGUUAAUAACCUUAGCAAUUGACGUUAGCGACAGAAGAAGCACCGGCUAACUCCGUGCCAGCAGCCGCGGUAAUACGGAGGGUGCGAGCGUUAAUCGGAAUUACUGGGCGUAAAGGGCACGCAGGCGGUUAAUUAAGUUGGAUGUGAAAUCCCCGGGCUUAACCUGGGAAUGGCAUUCAAGCUGGUUAGCUAGAGUCUUGUAGAGGGGGUAGAAUUCCAUGUGUAGCGGUGAAAUGCGUAGAGAUGUGGAGGAAUACCGGUGGCGAAGGCGGCCCCUGGACAAAGACUGACGCUCAUGUGCGAAAGCGUGGGGAGCAAACAGGGAUUAGAUACCCGU
RNAcentral lists this ribosomal RNA (455 nucleotides) under uncultured bacterium. RNAcentral describes it as "bacterial SSU rRNA". It matches the Rfam family "Bacterial small subunit ribosomal RNA", at positions 340 to 789 of the family's 1533-position model. The record is from RNAcentral.